AGAAAUGGAACCCUAUAUUUGCAAAUCACCAAAAUAAAACUGUGAAUUCUAUUACUUGUGAUUAGAUGAGGAAAUGGAGUUUCAAACUGCUUAACAUGAAGCAUGGAGCGCAGAGAGGCUAUUGCUGCUUUUGCUGGAGAAAAAAGAAGUUAUUUCCUCAUAGCAGUUCAUGCAGAUAUGGAAGUGUUUUUAAUAUGCAAAAUGAGCAUCUUAAAUUGUAGAAAGCAUCGUGCCUUAUAAAUCUUUCCUAUCUAUUUCUUAAG
RNAcentral lists this long non-coding RNA (263 nucleotides) under Olea europaea (common olive). RNAcentral describes it as "long non-coding RNA (OEUR_LNC005596)". Lineage: Eukaryota; Viridiplantae; Streptophyta; Magnoliopsida; Lamiales; Oleaceae. The record is from RNAcentral.